Molecule: ribosomal RNA, 447 nt
Filed under: uncultured bacterium
Lineage: Bacteria
Description: bacterial SSU rRNA
Rfam family: Bacterial small subunit ribosomal RNA
Source: RNAcentral
UAACGAAUCUUCCGCAAUGGGCGAAAGCCUGACGGAGCAAUGCCGCGUGUGGGAUGAAGCGCCUUCGGCGUGUAAACCACUGUCAGGGAAUGGAACCAAUGAUUAUUCCCAAAGGAAGUGGCGACUAACUCUGUGCCAGCAGUCGCGGUAAUACAGAGGCCACAAGCGUUAGUCGGAAUCACUGGGCUUAAAGGGUGCGUAGGCGGGCCCGCAAGCGUCUUGUGAAAUCCCAUGGCUCAACCAUGGAAUUGCAGGGCGAACUGCGGGUCUUGAGGCAGGUAGGGGCCGGAAGAACAGUAGGUGGAGCGGUGAAAUGCGUAGAUAUUAGGAGGAACACCGAAGGCGAAGGCAGCUUGCUGGACGAGAUCUGACGCUGAAGCACGAAAGCGUGGGGAGCAAACAGGAUUAGAUACCCCAGUAGUCCCUGAGCGGGCUGGCAAGGCGCAU